AUGUAUGUGUGGCACGGGUUGCGCUAUCUGUUUCUCGUUGUUUCGGUGCUGCGUGAGUCGUGGCGUUGCUUGAUGUUUGUUCAGAAGUGAUUUUUAGAAUUUUCCGGAUUCGAAAUGACCAAUCCUGGCGACGCCCAGCAGGGGCGAAGUGUUGUGACACGCUGGCGUAUGCUCGCGGAGCGAAGGCUCAAUUAUCUGGUCGAACUUUAUGAAACCGGGCGCUGGAAGGCCUAUUACAGCGAGACCGAGUUUCUGAAAGUCGUUCAGGAGGCCCGUGCGGCGCUGAAAACGUGGGAGCAGCUUGCGCCUCUCGAUCCUGUU
This 321-nucleotide unclassified non-coding RNA is filed under the name Hevea brasiliensis (rubber tree). Lineage: Eukaryota; Viridiplantae; Streptophyta; Magnoliopsida; Malpighiales; Euphorbiaceae. The record is from RNAcentral.